RNAcentral lists this microRNA (21 nucleotides) under Rosa chinensis. RNAcentral's name for it is "sRNA RchiOBHm_Chr2g0123925". Lineage: Eukaryota; Viridiplantae; Streptophyta; Magnoliopsida; Rosales; Rosaceae. The record is from RNAcentral.
UCGGACCAGGCUUCGUUCCUC